RNAcentral lists this ribosomal RNA (1430 nucleotides) under Staphylococcus aureus. RNAcentral describes it as "partial 23S ribosomal RNA". It matches the Rfam family "Bacterial large subunit ribosomal RNA", at positions 1 to 1652 of the family's 2925-position model. Lineage: Bacteria; Bacillati; Bacillota; Bacilli; Caryophanales; Staphylococcaceae. The record is from RNAcentral.
AGAUUAAGUUAUUAAGGGCGCACGGUGGAUGCCUUGGCACUAGAAGCCGAUGAAGGACGUUACUAACGACGAUAUGCUUUGGGGAGCUGUAAGUAAGCUUUGAUCCAGAGAUUUCCGAAUGGGGAAACCCAGCAUGAGUUAUGUCAUGUUAUCGAUAUGUGAAUACAUAGCAUAUCAGAAGGCACACCCGGAGAACUGAAACAUCUUAGUACCCGGAGGAAGAGAAAGAAAAUUCGAUUCCCUUAGUAGCGGCGAGCGAAACGGGAAGAGCCCAAACCAACAAGCUUGCUUGUUGGGGUUGUAGGACACUCUAUACGGAGUUACAAAGGACGACAUUAGACGAAUCAUCUGGAAAGAUGAAUCAAAGAAGGUAAUAAUCCUGUAGUCGAAAAUGUUGUCUCUCUUGAGUGGAUCCUGAGUACGACGGAGCACGUGAAAUUCCGUCGGAAUCUGGGAGGACCAUCUCCUAAGGCUAAAUACCGGCGAGUUACGAUUUGAUGCAAGGUUAAGCAGUAAAUGUGGAGCCGUAGCGAAAGCGAGUCUGAAUAGGGCGUUUAGUAUUUGGUCGUAGACCCGAAACCAGGUGAUCUACCCUUGGUCAGGUUGAAGUUCAGGUAACACUGAAUGGAGGACCGAACCGACUUACGUUGAAAAGUGAGCGGAUGAACUGAGGGUAGCGGAGAAAUUCCAAUCGAACCUGGAGAUAGCUGGUUCUCUCCGAAAUAGCUUUAGGGCUAGCCUCAAGUGAUGAUUAUUGGAGGUAGAGCACUGUUUGGACGAGGGGCCCCUCUCGGGUUACCGAAUUCAGACAACACCAGCUAAGGUCCCAAAAUAUAUGUUAAGUGGAAAAGGAUGUGGCGUUGCCCAGACAACUAGGAUGUUGGCUUAGAAGCAGCCAUCAUUUAAAGAGUGCGUAAUAGCUCACUAGUCGAGUGACACUGCGCCGAAAAUGUACCGGGGCUAAACAUAUUACCGAAGCUGUGGAUUGUCCUUUGGACAAUGGUAGGAGAGCGUUCUAAGGGCGUUGAAGCAUGAUCGUAAGGACAUGUGGAGCGCUUAGAAGUGAGAAUGCCGGUGUGAGUAGCGAAAGACGGGUGAGAAUCCCGUCCACCGAUUGACUAAGGUUUCCAGAGGAAGGCUCGUCCGCUCUGGGUUAGUCGGGUCCUAAGCUGAGGCCGACAGGCGUAGGCGAUGGAUAACAGGUUGAUAUUCCUGUACCACCUAUAAUCGUUUUAAUCGAUGGGGGGACGCAGUAGGAUAGGCGAAGCGUGCGAUUGGAUUGCACGUCUAAGCAGUAAGGCUGAGUAUUAGGCAAAUCCGGUACUCGUUAAGGCUGAGCUGUGAUGGGGAGAAGACAUUGUGUCUUCGAGUCGUUGAUUUCACACUGCCGAGAAAAGCCUCUAGAUAGAAAAUAGGUGCCCGUACCGCAA